GAAAUGCGAUAAGUAAUGUGAAUUGCAGAAUUCAGUGAAUCAUCGAAUCUUUGAACGCACCUUGCGCUCCUUGGUAUUCCUUGGAGCAUGCCUGUUUGAGUAUCAUGAAAUCUUCAAAGUAAAUCUUUUGUUAACUCAAUUGGUUUCUACUUUGGUAUUGGAGGUCUUUGCAGCUUCACACCUGCUCCUCUUUGUUCAUUAGCUGGAUCUCAGUGUUAUGCUUGGUUCCACUCGGCGUGAUAAGUUAUCUAUCGCUGAGGACACUGUAAAAGGUGGCCAAGGUAAAUGCAGAUGAACCGCUUCUAAUAGUCCAUUGACUUGGACAAUACUUUUAUGAUCUGAUCUGAAAUCAGGUAGGACUACCCGCUGAACUUAAGC
RNAcentral lists this unclassified non-coding RNA (378 nucleotides) under plant metagenome. RNAcentral describes it as "partial contains 5.8S ribosomal RNA, internal transcribed spacer 2, and large subunit ribosomal RNA". The stretch from base 1 to 105 matches the Rfam family "5.8S ribosomal RNA", at positions 50 to 154 of the family's 154-position model. The record is from RNAcentral.